ACGCUAGCGAUAGGCUUAACACAUGCAAGUCGAGGGGCAGCAUGGUCUUAGCUUGCUAAGACUGAUGGCGACCGGCGCACGGGUGCGUAACGCGUAUGCAACUUGCCUCACAGAGGGGGAUAACCCGUCGAAAGACGGACUAAUACCGCGUACACUCCACUUUGGGCAUCCAAAGUAGAGGAAAUGAAAUUCGCUGUGAGAUAGGCAUGCGUCCCAUUAGCUAGUUGGUGAGGUAACGGCUCACCAAGGCGACGAUGGGUAGGGGAACUGAGAGGUUGAACCCCCACACUGGUACUGAGACACGGACCAGACUCCUACGGGAGGCAGCAGUGAGGAAUAUUGGUCAAUGGGCGAGAGCCUGAACCAGCCAAGUCGCGUGAAGGAUGACUGUCUUAUGGAUUGUAAACUUCUUUUAUACGGGAAUAACAAGAGCCACGUGUGGCUCCCUGCAUGUACCGUAUGAAUAAGCAUCGGCUAACUCCGUGCCAGCAGCCGCGGUAAUACGGAGGAUGCGAGCGUUAUCCGGAUUUAUUGGGUUUAAAGGGUGCGUAGGCGGCCUGUUAAGUCAGCGGUGAAAUCUAGGAGCUUAACUCCUAAAUUGCCAUUGAUACUGGCGGGCUUGAGUGUAGAUGAGGUAGGCGGAAUGCGUGGUGUAGCGGUGGAAUGCAUAGAUAUCACGCAGAACUCCGAUUGCGAAGGCAGCUUACUAAGGUACAACUGACGCUGAAGCACGAAAGCGUGGGUAUCAAACAGGAUUAGAUACCCUGGUAGUCCACGCAGUAAACGAUGAUAACUGGGCGUAUGCGAUAUACAGUAUGCUCCUAAGCGAAAGCGUUAAGUUAUCCACCUGGGGAGUACGCCGGCAACGGUGAAACUCAAAGGAAUUGACGGGGGCCCGCACAAGCGGAGGAACAUGUGGU
Molecule: ribosomal RNA, 920 nt
Filed under: uncultured bacterium
Lineage: Bacteria
Description: bacterial SSU rRNA
Rfam family: Bacterial small subunit ribosomal RNA
Source: RNAcentral